CAAGGGGAGUGGCAGACGGGUGAGUAACGCGUGGGAACAUACCCUUUCCUGCGGAAUAGCUCCGGGAAACUGGAAUUAAUACCGCAUACGCCCUACGGGGGAAAGAUUUAUCGGGGAAGGAUUGGCCCGCGUUGGAUUAGCUAGUUGGUGGGGUAAAGGAAUACCAAGGCGACGAUCCAUAGCUGGUCUGAGAGGAUGAUCAGCCACAUUGGGACUGAGACACGGCCCAAACUCCUACGGGAGGCAGCAGUGGGGAAUAUUGGACAAUGGGCGCAAGCCUGAUCCAGCCAUGCCGCGUGAGUGAUGAAUGGCCUUAGGGUUGUAAAGCUCUUUCACCGGAGAAGAUAAUGACGGUAUCCGGAGAAGAAGCCCCGGCUAACUUCGUGCCAGCAGCCGCGGUAAUACGAAGGGGGCUAGCGUUGUUCGGAAUUA
This 432-nucleotide ribosomal RNA is filed under the name Paenirhizobium selenitireducens. Its description in RNAcentral is "bacterial SSU rRNA". It matches the Rfam family "Bacterial small subunit ribosomal RNA", at positions 87 to 553 of the family's 1533-position model. Lineage: Bacteria; Pseudomonadati; Pseudomonadota; Alphaproteobacteria; Hyphomicrobiales; Rhizobiaceae. The record is from RNAcentral.